Molecule: long non-coding RNA, 1018 nt
Filed under: Homo sapiens (human)
Lineage: Eukaryota; Metazoa; Chordata; Mammalia; Primates; Hominidae
Description: HSALNT0340475
Source: RNAcentral
ACCCUGACUACUUUUAUCCUGGGUCAUGGCUAUCUUAAUAAAGUGGAUUCAAAAUUAAACCAAACCAAGAACCAUCUAGUUCAUUCAGAAUCAUUUACUACUUGAAAGGAGGAAAAAUCUUCUACAAUGAAAAGGGAUUGCAGGUAUUCCUUAAUAAAAUGACCAUACUUCAUGUCAUGAAUAGUGAAAGAAUUGGACAUCGUGGGUCUCCUGGAAGAAUUGAAUAUGAAGAAUACAACCUCACCUAUGGACUAUUAUCAUCCAGAGUGCUGCAAAGCUCUUGCAAAGCAAAAAGGCCCAUGGAAGAUGGGACAUGCUUAUGUGAACAAGACCUCAUGUCAACUCCAUUCCUCCCCCAGAUGGGACCUUCUGGUUGCAAAAAAACAAGCUCAGGGCCCUCACUGAUUCUACAUUCUGUGCCCAGUCCAAUGCCUGGCACACAGGAAAUGCAUGCUGGAUGAACAUGUCUUGAGCAGCAAAACUGGAGACCUUGCUGAAUAUAUCAGGGGUUGCUGUAUAAUUUACUGUGUUCUGUCUGUCCAGUGAAUUCCACAUUAUAGUCAGUUCAUUCAUUCUACAAGUAUAGUAGUUUAGUUGCUACUGUUUCUAGACUAUGCCAGUGAGCCUCUGUGGUCAGCUUUUACCCUAUGUUCAUGUAGCUCCAUGGCCCUGGGCUGCACCUUUGGGGAGAUGUGCUUCCUCUUUAGUGUAAGAAAUGCCGUAAUCUAUUAUUUCUCAUCUAUCCUUAUUUUGUAACAACUCCAGUAGUUAGUAUAAAUGGAGAAUAUGAGAUUCUACUACGAACUACAGAAUCAAAGAUUGGAAAAACCUACAUUUUCAAGAAAGAGGAGAGUCGAAUAAAGCUUGGUACAUUAGGAGGAUACCAUGCUUUGUUUCCAUAUAAAAGUGUGCUUCUGUAAGUAUUGACAUGUGUAUACAUAAAAUAUCUCUGCAGGGGGAUUAAACAAGAAAUCUGUAAAAUUGACCAUCUGUAAGUGGUAGGGGGUUGGGCACUGUA